ACCUGGCUGGCUCAGUCGGUAGAGCAUGUGACUAUUGAUCUCUGGGUUGUGAGUUCGAGCCCCAUGUUGGAUG
This 73-nucleotide transfer RNA is filed under the name Felis catus (domestic cat). It matches the Rfam family "tRNA". Rfam says of the family: Transfer RNA (tRNA) molecules are approximately 80 nucleotides in length. Their secondary structure includes four short double-helical elements and three loops (D, anti-codon, and T loops). The record is from Rfam by way of RNAcentral. Lineage: Eukaryota; Metazoa; Chordata; Mammalia; Carnivora; Felidae. RNAcentral also lists the same sequence under 2 other names.